GCUUAACACAUGCAAGUCGAGGGGCAGCAUGGUCUUAGCUUGCUAAGGCCGAUGGCGACCGGCGCACGGGUGAGUAACACGUAUCCAACCUGCCGUCUACUCUUGGACAGCCUUCUGAAAGGAAGAUUAAUACAAGAUGGCAUCAUGAGUCCGCAUGUUCACAUGAUUAAAGGUAUUCCGGUAGACGAUGGGGAUGCGUUCCAUUAGAUAGUAGGCGGGGUAACGGCCCACCUAGUCUUCGAUGGAUAGGGGUUCUGAGAGGAAGGUCCCCCACAUUGGAACUGAGACACGGUCCAAACUCCUACGGGAGGCAGCAGUGAGGAAUAUUGGUCAAUGGGCGAGAGCCUGAACCAGCCAAGUAGCGUGAAGGAUGGCUGCCCUAUGGGUUGUAAACUUCUUUUAUAAAGGAAUAAAGUCGGGUAUGGAUACCCGUUUGCAUGUACUUUAUGAAUAAGGAUCGGCUAACUCCGUGCCAGCAGCCGCGGUAAUACGGAGGAUCCGAGCGUUAUCCGGAUUUAUUGGGUUUAAAGGGAGCGUAGAUGGAUGUUUAAGUCAGUUGUGAAAGUUUGCGGCUCAACCGUAAAAUUGCAGUUGAUACUGGAUAUCUUGAGUGCAGUUGAGGCAGGCGGAAUUCGUGGUGUAGCGGUGAAAUGCUUAGAUAUCACGAAGAACUCCGAUUGCGAAGGCAGCCUGCUAAGCUGCAACUGACAUUGAGGCUCGAAAGUGUGGGUAUCAAACAGGAUUAGAUACCCUGGUAGUCCACACGGUAACCGAUGAAUACUCGCUGUUUGCGAUAUACGGCAAGCGGCCAAGCGAAAGCGUUAAGUAUUCCACCUGGGGAGUACGCCGGCAACGGUGAAACUCAAAGGAAUUGACGGGGGCCCGCACAAGCGGAGGAACAUGUGGUUUAAUUCGAUGAUACGCGAGGAACCUUACCCGGGCUUAAAUUGCAGAUGAAUUACGGUGAAAGCCGUAAGCCGCAAGGCAUCUGUGAAGGUGCUGCAUGGUUGUCGUCAGCUCGUGCCGUGAGGUGUCGGCUUAAGUGCCAUAACGAGCGCAACCCUUGUUGUCAGUUACUAACAGGUUCCGCUGAGGACUCUGACAAGACUGCCAUCGUAAGAUGUGAGGAAGGUGGGGAUGACGUCAAAUCAGCACGGCCCUUACGUCCGGGGCUACACACGUGUUACAAUGGGGGGUACAGAGGGCCGCUACCACGCGAGUGGAUGCCAAUCCCCAAAACCUCUCUCAGUUCGGACUGGAGUCUGCAACCCGACUCCACGAAGCUGGAUUCGCUAGUAAUCGCGCAUCAGCCACGGCGCGGUGAAUACGUUCCCGGGCCUUGUACACACCGCCCGUCAAGCCAUGGGAGCCGGGGGUACCUGAAGUGCGUAACCGCGAGGAGCGCCCUAGGGUAAAACUGGUGACUGGGGCUAAG
RNAcentral lists this ribosomal RNA (1435 nucleotides) under uncultured organism. Its description in RNAcentral is "SSU rRNA". It matches the Rfam family "Bacterial small subunit ribosomal RNA". The record is from RNAcentral.